Molecule: non-coding RNA, 21 nt
Filed under: Caenorhabditis elegans
Lineage: Eukaryota; Metazoa; Nematoda; Chromadorea; Rhabditida; Rhabditidae
Source: RNAcentral
UACAGCAACCUGCCAAGUCGU